This is a long non-coding RNA of Ictalurus punctatus (channel catfish), 1676 nucleotides long. The record is from Ensembl. Lineage: Eukaryota; Metazoa; Chordata; Actinopteri; Siluriformes; Ictaluridae.
UGAUUUGCGUACGAGUCGAGUCCUUGAGCCGGAUCUUUUAAGCGAGUCGACUCGCACGUCUAAUGAGCCAUAUUAUUUUUGCUGAAGAUUUAUCAGUACUUUAGGUUUAUGAUUAACUAAAGACAUUCGACAGAAUACAUUCUGAUUGGUCAGCAUGUCAGUGUUUAUUAACCUUAUAUAAAAGCAGAUCUGAGAGAAGAUCACAGGUCUGUAUUAAUGCGUAUUAAUAUGUUAUUGUUUCUGAAGUAAUUGCUUAUUCUCACGGACGUGUACAGCGGACGCUCUUUAUAUUCAUGAGUAAACGGAUUAAAGGUGUGUGUAGUUGUUGGUAUGUGCUGUUUUGUGUAUGGAGACAUGUAUUUAUGUAUUAUUUAUGGAAGGAGUCUCCAGUGUCAGUGCUUUCUGACAGUCAAAGCUGUAGUUUGAACUUUUCUGACAGGACAGAGGAGUUUGCAGGAAGGCGUGUAACCCCUUUACACCCAGCCCUGAGCUGUGGUUUAUUUAUUUAUUUAUUUUUUAAAAUGUUUUCACCACCUUAACUUGUAUUUGUGUCUGUGCAAUGUUUGUAUCAGUCAUGUGAAUUCUCAUCAACAGUUUGCACAGAUUUAAUCACAGGAUGUUCAUCGUGUGAUGGUCUGAAGCAACGCAGCGUCACGAGGAUAUGACUCUCACUUCCUGUUCUUCCUGCUCAGAAAUGAAUGAGUGUUUCUUUAACCUUUAACACAUCUGUAGCUGAUGAGACGGAGAUGUGGGAAUAGUCGAUGUAAAUGUCAUGUCGGGAAUAGAACACUUGGGGGCGUCGGAGGAAAACGUGCCGCAUUCGAUUGAAACUCGAUUUGUAUUUCAUUAAAGAACACAUCGUAUUCUUUAUCCGUUUGUGUUUUAAUGUUACGUUCUGAUUCGAACUCUCGUCUCGGCUUCAGCUCCACACCAUGGUGUCGUAUAAGAGGCUGACCCCAGAGGAGGUCAACUUCUCCGGCGUGCCUUUACUGCAGUCUCAUGAUGAUUCUCAGGACAGUGAGCUGAAGGUGGAAGAUGCAGAGCGCCCUCUGCUGGCCCGGAGGCCUCAGUGCUCCGUCACUUCUGCCCUGUUGACCCUAGGAGGCUUUAUCCUCGUAGUCCUCGGUGUCUGGUUACUAGGAAACCGUGCUUUGGCUGCGUAGUACCGCUUCCAUAGGAAUCCACCGCCCUCCAUCACCCGGCAAAGACAACCGGACACGACCGGAAUCCUGCUCCGUUAUUCCAGAAUCCUGGAGGUUCGACUGCUAUCCAGAGAGAGGUGUUGUGGUGGACUGAGGAUUUGUGUCACUCCAGGAACUGUUGCUUUGCACGUGCAGCCACUGAGCAGAGCGGUGUCCCGUGGUGCUAUUAUCCAACAGAUUUUCCAUCGUAUACGCUAGCGGCUAUUAACGACACCGAGACGGGAUCGAUCGGGGAAACUGGUCCGUACUCAGAAGACGUAUUAUCCUAUGGAUAUUGAGGUGCUGAGGCUGGAUGUGCUGUACGAGUCGAACAGCAGACUGCGUGUAAAAAUAACAGAUCCCGCACAGCAGAGGUUCGAGGUUCCUAUAGAUGUUCCUGUGGUGGAAAAACGAGCUCCGAAUCCCUUGUACACAGUGGAGUUCUCCAAACAGCCGUUCGGGAUCAUCGUUAAGAGAACACAAACCGGAGCUGUG